This 3184-nucleotide long non-coding RNA is filed under the name Gallus gallus (chicken). RNAcentral describes it as "lncRNA (ENSGALG00010000746.1)". Lineage: Eukaryota; Metazoa; Chordata; Aves; Galliformes; Phasianidae. The record is from RNAcentral.
CCCGAGGAGCCGGCCGUGCGGCAGCGGGGCGGGGCGGCCCCGGGGCUCCGAGCGCCGCCUCAGCUUCUGCGAGUGGGUGUCCGGGGGGGGCGCCGGGGCGGGGAGUCCUCUCCCACCCCUCCCCUCGCUUCCUCCCGCCCCCGGUCCCCAUUCUGACCCCCAGGGUCCUCUGUCUGUCCCCCUCCCUCCCGAUCCCUCCUCGCUCCCCCGCUCUCAUCCCUUCUGUCUCCUUUCCCGCCCCCCCCCACAGCUCUCCCCACGUUGGCCCCUCCAUCCGUCUCCCCCCUCUGACUCCCCUCUGUCUGCCCCCCAGGGUCCCCCGUCUUCCCUCUUCCUUCUCCCUCCCCCCUGCUGACCCCAUUUGCUGACCCCUAGAGUCCCCUGUACCCCCCAUGCCCUCCUCCCUGACUUCUGGAGUCCGCUCCCCCAUUUUGACCCCCAGUAUCCCCCAACGGGACCCCCUUUAUGUCCCAUAGAAGCCCCCCCACGACCCCCAGUUUUCCCUUCCAACCUCUCUCUCCACCCCCGAGACCCCCUUUUUCCCCCACGGAAGUCUCGUUCUCCUCUUCCCCCCCAAGGCCCCCCAACCUCCACUUUCUGCCCCUUGAUGCCCUUUACACCCCACAGAAGCCCCACUCACACCUUCCCCCCCCCCCAGAUUCCACACAACCCCCUCUCCACCCCCUGACUCCCUUUCCACCCCACAGAAGCCCCACUAACCCCUUUCUCACCCCCCCCCAAAACCCCCCUUUUCCCCACUUAGAAUCAUGAAGAAGGAUCUGGAGACGUCCUAGAGAGGUCUGGGGGCAUCCAGGGGGUUCUGGACUCAUCCAGAAGAGUCUGGAGAUGUCCAAGGAGGAUCCAGGGAGUCCCCAGGUUGGUCCUGUGGGCCCCUGGAAGGGUCUGGCAGCUCCCACGAUGGGCCCAGGAGCUCUGAGGAGUCUCUGGGCUGAUCUGGAGAUGUCCCAGUAGAGUCUGCGAGGGUCCAGGGAGCCCUCGUGUGGGUCUGAGUGGUCAUCCAGAAGGGUCUGGGGAUGUCCCAGAGGGGACUUGGAGGGUCUGGGGGGUCCUUUGGUGGGUUCAGAGGGUCCUGUUGUCUUCUGGAAGGGUCUGAAGAUGUCCCAGAAGUGUCCUGGGUGUCCAAAGGGUGCUCAUGUGGGUCUGGGGGGUCCUGGAGCCAUCCAGAAGGGUCUGGGGAUGGCCCAGAGAGGACUUGGAGGGUCUGGGGGGUCCUUUGGUGGGUUCAGAGGGUCCUGUUGUCUUCUGGAAGGGUCUGAAGAUGUCCCAGAAGUGUCUUGGGGUGUCCAGGGGGUGCUGUCACUGAGCCUCCCACUGUCCUAUGAGGGGACAAAAGGACCCCCCUGGGGGCAUUGCGCCAAAGUUGGGGACACUGUGAGCAGCUUGAGGACUUCCCAGGGGAAGUGGGGACACCGCGUCACUGUGUCACACCUCAAAGUUGGGGACACCCCCACCGUGUCACACCUCAAAGUUGGGGCAUCUCUGUGUCCCCCCGAUGGUGUCACACCCCAAAGUUGGGGACACACCACAGUGUCACACCCCAAAGUUGGGGACACCCCCACAUGUUACACCCCAAAGUUGGGGUCUGUCCCAGAGGUGGGAGUGCCCCCACGUUCCCCACCAUGGCGUCACAUCCCAAAGUUGGGGACCCCCCUCUGGGGACCCAUUCUGUGCGCCCCCCAUUGCAGACUGCACUGUUCCCAUGGGGUGGGGCGGGGGGCACCCUUUAUUUUUGGGAUUAAGGUUUAUUUUGUGAUAACGGGGGGUUGGGGAUGCCCCCCCCCACGUGAAUAGAGGGCAGAGGAGCGGCUGUGGGGCUCCGUGUGUCACACCGGGGAGUGCUUUGGGGACACUGCAGCAUCCCAGCCCCAUAGCCCCCAUGGCCCUAUAACCACUACAGCCCCAUCUCGUAGCCAUCCCAUAUCCAUAUCCCAUCCCAUAUCCCAUCCUGUAUCCAUAACCCUUCCAAUAUCCAAAACAUGAUAUCUGUCCCACGCCCAUAUCCCAAAUCCAUCCCAUAUCCAUAUCCCAAAUCCAUCCCGUAUCCAUAUCCCAAAUCCAUCCUAUAUCCAUAUUCCAAAUCCAUCCCCUAUCCAUAUCCCAUCCCAACUUCAUGCCAAAUCUCUUUCUAUAUCCAUAUCACCUUAUCUAUCCCAUAACCAUCCCAAAUCCAUCUCAAAUCCAUAUCUCAUCCCAAACCGAUCCCAUCUCCUUAUCCAUCCCAUAUCAAUGUCCCAUCCCUUAUCCAAUCCCAUAUCCCAUCCUAAAGCCAUCCCACAUCCAUACCCCUACAUCCCAUAUCCUAUCCCCAUCCUGUACCCCAUGUCCCAUAUCCAUUUCCAUCCCACAGCCUUCCUGAAUCCAUAUCCCCACAUCCAUCCCGUGUCCACCCCAUAUCCAUUCCAUAUACCUAUCCCAUCCCUAUGAUCAUCCCAAUCCCAUCCCAUAUCCAUAUCCUGUCCCAACUCCACCCCAUAUCAUUCCCAUAUCUUUGCCAAGUCUGUCCCGUACCUGUAUACCCACUUCCUGCAUCCCAACCCCAAUCCCAAUCCCAAUCCACGCCUCAUUCCCAAUCCCACAUGCCAAUCCCAUAUCCCGUAUUCCCAAUCCCUAUCCCGAAUCCCAAUGCCAAUCCCACAUCCCAGCCCCAUGUACCAUCCGUCAAUCCAUCGCAAUCCCAAAUCUCAUAUCCCAGUCCUAACCCCAAUCCCACACCCCCAAUCCCAAUCCCACACCCCUAAUCCCAAUCCCAACCCCUAUUGCAAUAGGGCGCACUCCGAGCCCCUCCCGCCGCUCUAUCCCGCCUCCUGCCUCUCAUUGGUCAGGUGCCGCUCUGUCCCGCCCCCAGCCUCUCAUUGGUCAGAUGCAGCUCUAUCACGCCGCCGGCCUCUCAUUGGCUGAGCUGCAGCUCCGUCCCGCCCCCAUCCUCUCAUUGGUCAGACUCAGCUCCGUCCCGGCCCCGGACUCUCAUUGGAUGAGCCGCAGUUCCAUCCUGCCUUCAGCCUCUCAUUGGUCAGGUGCAGCUCCUUCCCCUCCCCGGCCUCUCAUUGGCUGACGCGCAGCCCAGUCCCGCCCCCGGCCUCUCAACCGGUCAGCGGCAGCGCCGCCGGCCUUCCAUUGGCUGAGGCGCAGCGCGCGGGGGCAGCCGUUGGCAGCCGGCUCGGAG